AGGCAGUCUAGCAUCUGUCAUUCCAUUGACCACUACAGUUACUUCCUCUGACUUGUGGGGCUAUGUUGGUCUCCCCUUUACUCACAGCUCUAAGUGCAUCCUUCCCAAAGCUACCCACUCAGGAGGAGAAAAAAAAUCUCCCUAGAAGGAGAGCAUAUCUCUUUGGUCAAGGUGGGACAAGAAUUUGAGGUCUCCUGCCAGACCCUCCAAACAAGCUCUCAAUGGAAACUUCAUAUAUGAGGCAUUAUAAUUCUUACCUGAAAGUUAUACUUGAUUAUGUACAUUUUUC
This 289-nucleotide small nuclear RNA is filed under the name Cavia porcellus (domestic guinea pig). RNAcentral describes it as "7SK RNA". It matches the Rfam family "7SK RNA". Rfam says of the family: 7SK was discovered as an abundant small nuclear RNA in the mid-70s but a possible function has only recently been suggested. Two independent studies have found that 7SK RNA binds the CDK9/cyclin T complex (known as elongation factor P-TEFb). Lineage: Eukaryota; Metazoa; Chordata; Mammalia; Rodentia; Caviidae. The record is from Rfam by way of RNAcentral.